Molecule: RNase P RNA, 312 nt
Filed under: Gammaproteobacteria bacterium
Lineage: Bacteria; Pseudomonadati; Pseudomonadota; Gammaproteobacteria
Description: partial RNase P RNA component class A
Rfam family: Bacterial RNase P class A
About the family: Ribonuclease P (RNase P) is a ubiquitous endoribonuclease, found in archaea, bacteria and eukarya as well as chloroplasts and mitochondria. Its best characterised activity is the generation of mature 5'-ends of tRNAs by cleaving the 5'-leader elements of precursor-tRNAs.
Source: RNAcentral
UGAGAUGGCCAGACAAUCGCGCUUAUAGCUWGACUAUUUGUGAGGAAAGUCCGGGCUCCAAUGAGCAGGGUGCCAGAUAACGUCUGGAAAGCGUGAGCUUAUGGCAAGUGCCACAGAAAUGAUACCGCCUAGUUUCGGCUAGGUAAGGGUGAAAUGGUGCGGUAAGAGCGCACCGCGCAACUGGUAACAGUUGUGGCAGGGUAAACCCCACCUGGAGCAAGACCAAAUAGAGGAGCAGUCUGCUUGCAGACACGUGUGGCUCGCACGGUUCCUGGGUAGGUUGCUUGAGGCAAGUAGCGAUGCUUGUCCCAG